GACGAACGCUGGCGGCGUGCUUAACACAUGCAAGUCGAACGGAAAGGCCCUGCUUUUGUGGGGUGCUCGAGUGGCGAACGGGUGAGUAACACGUGAGUAACCUGCCCUUGACUUUGGGAUAACUUCAGGAAACUGGGGCUAAUACCGGAUAGGAGCUCCUGCUGCAUGGUGGGGGUUGGAAAGUUUCGGCGGUUGGGGAUGGACUCGCGGAUUAUCAGCUUGUUGGUGGGGUAGUGGCUUACCAAAGCAUUGACGGUUAGCCGGCCUGGGAGGGUGACGGGGCACAAUAGAACUGAGAUACGGACCAGACUGGUAUAGGAGACAGCAGUGGCAAAUAUUGUACAAUGAGCCGACGUAGGAGGAGGAGGCGCCGCGUGAGGGAUGACCGCUUUCGGGGUAAAAACCGCAUCAGCCUGAGACGAAGCUGGAGUGACGGUAAUGGAUGAAGAAGCACCGGCUAACUACGUG
Molecule: ribosomal RNA, 468 nt
Filed under: uncultured bacterium
Lineage: Bacteria
Description: partial 16S ribosomal RNA
Rfam family: Bacterial small subunit ribosomal RNA
Source: RNAcentral